RNAcentral lists this ribosomal RNA (489 nucleotides) under uncultured bacterium. RNAcentral describes it as "partial 16S ribosomal RNA". It matches the Rfam family "Bacterial small subunit ribosomal RNA", at positions 30 to 506 of the family's 1533-position model. The record is from RNAcentral.
AUUGAACGCUGGCGGCAGGCCUAACACAUGCAAGUCGAACGGUAACAGGAAGCAGCUUGCUGCUUCGCUGACGAGUGGCGGACGGGUGAGUAAUGUCUGGGAAACUGCCUGAUGGAGGGGGAUAACUACUGGAAACGGUAGCUAAUACCGCAUAACGUCGCAAGACCAAAGAGGGGGACCUUAGGGCCUCUUGCCAUCGGAUGUGCCCAGAUGGGAUUAGCUAGUAGGUGGGGUAACGGCUCACCUAGGCGACGAUCCCUAGCUGGUCUGAGAGGAUGACCAGCCACACUGGAACUGAGACACGGUCCAGACUCCUACGGGAGGCAGCAGUGGGGAAUAUCGCACAAUGGGCGCAAGCCUGAUGCAGCCAUGCCGCGUGUAUGAAGAAGGCCUUCGGGUUGUAAAGUACUUUCAGCGGGGAGGAAGGGAGUAAAGUUAAUACCUUUGCUCAUUGACGUUACCCGCAGAAGAAGCACCGGCUAACUCCGU